GAUGAACGCUGGCGGCGUGCCUAAUACAUGCAAGUCGAGCGAAGCGGUGACGGGUUAGUAACACGUGGAUAACCUCCUAUAAGACUGGGAUAACUUCGGGAAACCGGAGCUAAACCGGAUACUUAUCGAUGGAUCCGCGCUGAAUUAGCUAGUUGGUAAGGUAACGGCUUACCAAGGCAACGAUGCAUAGCCGACCUGGGAGGGUAAUCGGCCACGCUAGAACUGGGACACGGUCCAAACUCCUACGGAAGGCAGCAGUAGGGAAGCUGCCGCAAUGAGCGAAAGCCGGACGGAGCAACGCCGCGUGAGUGAUGAAGGUCUUCGGAACGGGAAACUCUGUUAUUGGGGAAGCGGUACCUAAUCAGAAAGCCACGGCUAACUACGUGCCAGCAGCCGCGGUAAUUC
RNAcentral lists this ribosomal RNA (405 nucleotides) under uncultured bacterium. RNAcentral describes it as "partial 16S ribosomal RNA". It matches the Rfam family "Bacterial small subunit ribosomal RNA", at positions 28 to 526 of the family's 1533-position model. The record is from RNAcentral.